UACGUAGGGUGCAGGCGUUAAUCGGAAUUACUGGGCGUAAAGCGUGCGCAGGCGGUUUGCUAAGACAGGUGUGAAAUCCCCGGCUUAACCUGGGAACUGCGCUUGUUACUGGCAGGCUUGAGUGUGGCAGAGGGGGGUGGAAUUCCACGUGUAGCAGUGAAAUGCGUAGAGAUGUGGAGGAACACCGAUGGCGAAGGCAGCCCCCUGGGCUAACCACGUGACGCCUCGAUGCACGAAA
This 238-nucleotide ribosomal RNA is filed under the name uncultured bacterium. RNAcentral describes it as "partial 16S ribosomal RNA". It matches the Rfam family "Bacterial small subunit ribosomal RNA", at positions 524 to 758 of the family's 1533-position model. The record is from RNAcentral.